Molecule: long non-coding RNA, 1350 nt
Filed under: Homo sapiens (human)
Lineage: Eukaryota; Metazoa; Chordata; Mammalia; Primates; Hominidae
Description: HSALNT0364334
Source: RNAcentral
CAAAUACCCAGUGGGAAACCUCUAAAGGAUAUUUAAGCCCCAGAAAAUUCUGUAACUAGCUCUCUUGAGCCACUUGCACAAUCCCACUCCUAGUCUGUGGAGUGUACUUUUGUUUCAAUAAUUCUAUGCUUUUAUUACUUCAUUCCUUCAUUUUUUUUGUGCAUUUUGUUCAAUUCUUUGUUCAAAACACCAAGAACCUGGACAACUCGUAGUCAAGAACCUCCACUGGUAACAUUACUAUAUGCUUGGCCCUGUUCUAAGGACUGGAGUGUGUAUGGUUAUUCACAGAAGCAGAAACAGGCUCAGAGACGUGAAAAAAUUUUCUCGCAUUUUCAGAGCUGGAAAGAAGUGGAACCUGGAUUUAAACACAGGCAACUCUAGAGCCUCAAGUUCCACUAUGAUCCUUAUUAGAACAUUAAAACGUCCAACACAAAGAAAUGAUACAUGUUUGAGAUGUUUGCCCAGAGCCCUGUGAGACUCUGGGGACACAAAGACAAAUGGCGUCUCUAGCACGAAGCAUGCUGGAGCUGGGAAGUUGGUGAGGAAGCAAAUCAUUUCAGUGCAGCCCAGGGACACUAUAGUGAACUAUGAGGGCACCCAGAGGACAGAGCCAACUCUCUGGAGGAACUUGGGCAUAACAAAUAAGCAUGUAACCUUGAAGCAAGGCCAUUGAAGGAAGCCAACCUGUGAAAACGUAGUUCAGAAAAGAUGGUCACAAACAAUAUGGUCACAUUGUUUGAACUCCAGAUUCAGUCUCAUCUGAAAUUACAAUUACUCUGGACUAUUCCCUCAGAUUUCAGCUGCUAUUUGGAGUAGCUGGAGAAAACAUAACCAGUUUCCAACUGCAAGAUGAAGACAGUGUGUUCUUUGUCUUCUCCAGUAGCUUCUUUAUACCACUACAAUUUCUCCCUUGUUGGGGAGAAUUCUUUACCUGCAAAUACAACUGAUGGUUUCCAGGUGUCAGCAGAAGACCUUCAAAAACACACUGAUGGACAGUUUGGUUCUAUCAUGAAGGAAACAUCUGUCACCCACUUCCAGAAAAUGAGGGUUGCCCUUCCCUCAACUGUGGCAGGGAGCUGAGGACACAACAUCACAGACUAACUAUUCUCACAAAGAAUGUUGGGUUUAAAAUAGAAAUUUCAGCAAACGACACCACUUUUCGCAAGUAGCAGCUAGUAUCAUCUAGCACUGAAUACAAAUAUGACUUCACUUAGUGAGAGUCUGUGAAUGUAUCAGAUUUAGAGGGUUUCUGUGUAAAUGAUAUCCUAAAUUUAAAUGCUCUGGGAGCAUAGAUUGAACUGUCGUGAGGGAUUUGUCUCAGAGAUAGCCAAAUCUUUGUGGAAGGCUUCC